Molecule: ribosomal RNA, 250 nt
Filed under: uncultured bacterium
Lineage: Bacteria
Description: partial 16S ribosomal RNA
Rfam family: Bacterial small subunit ribosomal RNA
Source: RNAcentral
GGAUGAAUAUUGGUCAAUGGGCGCAAGCCUGAACCAGCCAUGCCGCGUGCAGGAAGACGGUCCUAUGGAUUGUAAACUGCUUUUAUACAGGAAGAAACACCUCCACGUGUGGAGGCUUGACGGUACUGUAGGAAUAAGGAUCGGCUAACUCCGUGCCAGCAGCCGCGGUAAUACGGAGGAUCCAAGCGUUAUCCGGAAUCAUUGGGUUUAAAGGGUCCGUAGGCGGUCUUAUAAGUCAGUGGUGAAAGCC